CGGACGGGUGAGUAACACGUGGAUAACCUACCUAUAAGACUGGGAUAACUCCGGGAAACCGGAGCUAAUACCGGAUAAUAUAUUGAACCGCAUGGUUCAAUAGUGAAAGACGGUUUUGCUGUCACUUAUAGAUGGAUCCGCGCCGCAUUAGCUAGUUGGUAAGGUAACGGCUUACCAAGGCAACGAUGCGUAGCCGACCUGAGAGGGUGAUCGGCCACACUGGAACUGAGACACGGUCCAG
Molecule: ribosomal RNA, 241 nt
Filed under: uncultured Staphylococcus sp.
Lineage: Bacteria; Bacillati; Bacillota; Bacilli; Caryophanales; Staphylococcaceae
Description: partial 16S ribosomal RNA
Rfam family: Bacterial small subunit ribosomal RNA
Source: RNAcentral